RNAcentral lists this ribosomal RNA (876 nucleotides) under uncultured archaeon. RNAcentral's name for it is "bacterial SSU rRNA". It matches the Rfam family "Archaeal small subunit ribosomal RNA", at positions 31 to 913 of the family's 1478-position model. The record is from RNAcentral.
UAUCGGAUUGAUACUAAGCCAUGCGAGUCAUUGCAGUAAUGCAAGGCAGACGGCUCAGUAACGCGUAGUCAACCUACCCUAUGGACGGGAAUAACCUCGGGAAACUGAGUAUAAUGCCCGAUAGAACACUAUUCCUGGAAUGGUUUGUGUUCCAAAUGAUUUAUCGCCGUAGGAUGGGACUGCGGCCUAUCAGUUUGUUGGUGAGGUAAUGGCCCACCAAGACUAUUACAGGUACGGGCUCUGAGAGGAGUAGCCCGGAGAUGGGUACUGAGACACGGACCCAGGCCCUAUGGGGCGCAGCAGGCGAGAAAACUUUGCAAUGUGCGAGAGCACGACAAGGUUAAUCCGAGUGGUUUGUGCUAAACGAACCUUUUGACAGUCCUAGAAACACUGUUGAAUAAGGGGUGGGCAAGUUCUGGUGUCAGCCGCCGCGGUAAAACCAGCACCUCAAGUGGUCAGGAUGAUUAUUGGGCCUAAAGCAUCCGUAGCCGGCUCUGUAAGUUUUCGGUUAAAUCUGUACGCUCAACGUACAGGCUGCCGGGAAUACUGCAGAGCUAGGGAGUGGGAGAGGUAGACGGUACUCGGUAGGAAGGGGUAAAAUCCUUUGAUCUAUUGAUGACCACCUGUGGCGAAGGCGGUCUACCAGAACACGUCCGACGGUGAGGGAUGAAAGCUGGGGGAGCAAACCGGAUUAGAUACCCGGGUAGUCCCAGCUGUAAACUAUGCAAACUCAGUGAUGCAUUGGCUUGUGGCCAAUGCAGUGCUGCAGGGAAGCCGUUAAGUUUGCCGCCUGGGAAGUACGUACGCAAGUAUGAAACUUAAAGGAAUUGGCGGGGGAGCACCACAAGGGGUGAAGCCUGCGGUUCAAUUGGAGUC